This 399-nucleotide ribosomal RNA is filed under the name uncultured bacterium. RNAcentral describes it as "partial 16S ribosomal RNA". It matches the Rfam family "Bacterial small subunit ribosomal RNA", at positions 360 to 773 of the family's 1533-position model. The record is from RNAcentral.
AAUAUUGCACAAUGGAGGGAACUCUGAUGCAGCAACGCCGCGUGAGUGAAGAAGGUUUUCGGAUCGUACACCUCUGUCCUUGGGGACGAAGGAUGUGACGGUACCCAAGGAGGAAGCUCCGGCUAACUACGUGCCAGCAGCCGCGGUAAUACGUAGGGAGCGAGCGUUGUCCGGAAUUACUGGGCGUAAAGGGUGCGUAGGCGGCAUGGCAAGUCAGAUGUGAAAGCCCCGGGCUUAACUCGGGAACUGCAUUUGAAACUGCUGUGCUUGAGUGCAGGAGAGGAAAGCGGAAUUCCUAGUGUAGCGGUGAAAUGCGUAGAUAUUAGGAGGAACACCAGUGGCGAAGGCGGCUUUCUGGACUGCAACUGACGCUGAGGCACGAAAGCGUGGGGAGCAAAC